AGCGUAGACGGAAUGGCGAGUCUGAUGUGAAAGGCCGGGGCUCAACCCCGGGACUGCAUUGGAAACUGUCAAUCUAGAGUACCGGAGGGGUAAGUGGAAUUCCUAGUGUAGCGGUGAAAUGCGUAGAUAUUAGGAGGAACACCAGUGGCGAAGGCGGCUUACUGGACGGUAACUGACGUUGAGGCUCGAAAGCGUGGGGAGGCAAAACA
RNAcentral lists this ribosomal RNA (209 nucleotides) under uncultured bacterium. Its description in RNAcentral is "partial 16S ribosomal RNA". It matches the Rfam family "Bacterial small subunit ribosomal RNA", at positions 568 to 776 of the family's 1533-position model. The record is from RNAcentral.